Molecule: ribosomal RNA, 466 nt
Filed under: uncultured bacterium
Lineage: Bacteria
Description: partial 16S ribosomal RNA
Rfam family: Bacterial small subunit ribosomal RNA
Source: RNAcentral
CGAACGCUGGCGGCGUGCUUACCACAUGCAAGUCGAACGGAAAGGCCCUGCUUUUGUGGGGUGCUCGAGUGGCGAACGGGUGAGUAACACGUGAGUAACCUGCCCUUGACUUUGGGAUAACUUCAGGAAACUGGGGCUAAUACCGGAUAGGAGCUCCUGCUGCAUGGUGGGGGUUGGAAAGUUUCGGCGGUUGGGGAUGGACUCGCGGCUUAUCAGCUUGUUGGUGGGGUAGUGGCUUACCAAGGCUUUGACGGGUAGCCGGCCCGAGAGGGUGACCGGCCACAUUGGGACUGAGAUACGGCCCAGACUCCUACGGGAGGCAGCAGUGGGGAAUAUUGCACAAUGGGCGGAAGCCUGAUGCAGCAACGCCGCGUGCGGGAUGACGGCCUUCGGGUUGUAAACCGCUUUCGCCUGUGACGAAGCGUGAGUGACGGUAAUGGGUAAAGAAGCACCGGCUAACUACGUG